UACAGAGGGUGCGAGCGUUGUCCGGAAUCACUGGGCGUAAAGGGCGCGUAGGCGGCGCGGUAAGCGUGCGGUGAAAGCCCGGGGCUCAACCCCGGGUCGGCCGUGCGGACUGCCGGGCUGGAGCACUGUAGAGGCAGGUGGAAUUCCGGGUGUAGCGGUGGAAUGCGUAGAGAUCCGGAGGAACACCGAUUGCGAAGGCAGCUCGCUGGGACGUUACUGACGCUGAGACGCGAAAGCGUGGGGAGCAAACAGG
This 253-nucleotide ribosomal RNA is filed under the name uncultured bacterium. RNAcentral describes it as "partial 16S ribosomal RNA". It matches the Rfam family "Bacterial small subunit ribosomal RNA", at positions 524 to 776 of the family's 1533-position model. The record is from RNAcentral.